RNAcentral lists this long non-coding RNA (2402 nucleotides) under Lathyrus oleraceus (garden pea). Its description in RNAcentral is "Pisum sativum (pea) long non-coding RNA (PSAT_LNC035406)". Lineage: Eukaryota; Viridiplantae; Streptophyta; Magnoliopsida; Fabales; Fabaceae. The record is from RNAcentral.
UGGGCGUGCAUGGCCGCAGUAGUAGUUACCAAGGAAGGUUUUAGUGAGAGCUCUGCGGCGGUUGAUAAACCCUCGUAAUUUCCAAUACAAAGUACUUUAUAUUUUUUUUUGUUAUCUUCAACCGUUCAUGUACUUCUAUUCUAAUACAGAUUACUAUAUAUUAUUAAAUUUGAAACCGACAUUGAUUGCUAAUAUUCUACCCGAUCACAUGACAUACACGGUUUUAGGCUAACAAUUAUAUACAUGGUGGUACAUGCUUGCCAGUUAUACAUGACAAUAACUAAAUGAAAAAGUGAGUUUCUUCAUCGAUUCAUUAAUGCAAUCACUGUUUUGAUAGCUACGUACAGAGUUUACUUAGAAACUGAAAAUAAAAAGAAGCUAAUUAAUGCUUCAAUAUAUAUAUAUAUAUAUCCUUGAUUUAGUCAAUACAUGUGAUGGCCUUGUUUUAUUUUGUUUUGGAAACUAUUUUAUCAAUGAAAAUAAAAACUUUACUUUUAUAUUAGUUAAAAAACGUCUUUUAAAUGAAAUAAAAAAUGAUUUAGAAAUUGCACUUGGCAAAACAUUAACAUGUUCACAAGUCUUCUUUUUUUACACAUCACUUUUUAGCCUCUACUCUAUUUAUUUCUGUUUUUUUAGUUUUAACAGAUCUCUUUGCUUUUUAUUUCUCUAUUCCUUUACAACUAUUUAACGGUGUUCACUACUGGAGGUACGCGAGAAUAUAUUGUUUAUGAAAAAGACUAAGGUUGUUGAUGGUUGGGGACAUAGCAAUUAUGAAUAUAGCAGCCAUUGGAUUGUUUUCAAACAAGUUUGAAAUUUAGGCCAUAUUAGUUAGUCGGAAGAACUACAGUACAUGAGAGAUGUCCCUAAGUCUUUGUGUAUUAAUGGUAUGUGCUCCUAUAAAUAGAACUCCAGUUGCCUAGCUUUCUCAUUACAAGAGCAAAGCAAGUUUUUACGGCUCUACUACAAUUUUCUGUCUUAUUAAGAUGGGAAAUUUACACAAGUAUGCUGCAGUACUUGCUUUUAUAUUUGCGUUGGUGAUAGGAACAUUUGAAUGCCGAACACUAAGAAAAGAAGAAUCUGUUGACACCUUCGGUGGAGGUGGCUUAGGUGGUGGUGCGGGUGGAGGUUUUGGGGGUGGUAGUGGUGGAGGUGUUGGAGUAGGAUUUGGACACGGUGGAGGUAUUGGAGCUGGUGGUGGCUUUCGAGGCGGGGCUGGAGGUGGUAGUGGUGGUGGAGGAGGAAUUGGAGGUGGUCAUGGUGGUGGUGCAGGUGGAGGCUUUGGAGGUGGAUUGGAGCUGGUGGUGGCUUUCGAGGCGGGGCUGGAGGUGGUAGUGGUGGUGGAGGAGGAAUUGGAGGUGGUCAUGGUGGUGGUGCAGGUGGAGGCUUUGGAGGUGGUAGUGGUGGUGGUGCAGGAGGAGGAAUUGGUGGUGGACACGGUGGUGGAUUAGGUGGAGGUGGUGGUGCGGGUGGAGGCUUCGGAGGAGGUAGUGGUGGUGGACAUGGUGGUGGAUUAGGUGGAGGUAGUGGUGGUGGUGCUGGAGGAGGAAUUGGUGGUGGACAUGGUGGUGGAUUAGGUGGAGGUGGUGGUACAGGUGGAGGCUUCGGAGGAGGUAGUGGUGGUGGUGCUGGAGGAGGUAUUGGUGGAGGACAUGGUGGUGGAUUAGGUGGAGGCGGUGGUACAGGUGGAGGCUUUGGAGGUGGUAGUGGUGGUGGUGCAGGAGGAGGAAUUGGUGGUGGACAUGGUGGUGGAUUAGGUGGAGGUAGUGGUGCAGGUGGAGGCUUCGGAGGUGGUAGUGGUGGUGGUGUAGGAGGAGGAGUCGGUGGUGGACAUGGUGGUGGAUUAGGUGGAGGUGGUGGUACCGGUGGAGGCUUUGGAGGUGGUAGUGGUGGUGGCGUGGGAGGAGGAAAUGGCGGUGGUGGUGGUAUAGGUGGAGGAGGAGGUGUCGGAGGAGGCAUUGGAGGUGGUUCUGGAGUAGGUGGAGGUGUUGGAGGUGGCUUUGGAGGUGGACAUGGUGGUGGUGCAGGAGGAGGCAUUGGUGGGGGUGGUGGAAGAGGUGGAGGUGCAGGCGGAGGAUUCGGGGGUGGAUCUGGAGGAGGUGCGGGAGGCGGCUUUGGAGGUGGUCAUGGUGGGGGUGUAGGAGGUGGUUUUGGAGGUGGUGGUGAUGAUCGAGUUUAAAUCAAUAUUCAUGAUGUUAUAUAAAAUGUAAUGUACUAUAUAUGAAUCUAAUGAAAUAAAUGCAUCUUUUUAUUAAAUAUGAUUUGGGCUUAUUCGUAGAAUUUAUUCAUAUUUAAAAAUAUCUAAUGUUAAUUAGAAUAAUUUGAUUUAAGUAAUAUGAUGAAAGUUAAAUCACAAUUUUUUUUUUGAUAUUUAGUUUAAUUUUAAUUUCUUAACUUAAAAAACA